This 565-nucleotide ribosomal RNA is filed under the name uncultured Glomeromycotina. Its description in RNAcentral is "SSU rRNA". It matches the Rfam family "Eukaryotic small subunit ribosomal RNA", at positions 548 to 1114 of the family's 1831-position model. Lineage: Eukaryota; Fungi; Glomeromycota. The record is from RNAcentral.
UUGGAGGGCAAGUCUGGUGCCAGCAGCCGCGGUAAUUCCAGCUCCAAUAGCGUAUAUUAAAGUUGUUGCAGUUAAAAAGCUCGUAGUUGAAUUUCGGGAUUAAUGUAUCGGUCAUGCCGUUGGUAUGUACUGAUAUUAUUGAUUUCUCACCUUCUAAAGAACCGUAAUGCCAUUAAUUUGGUGUCACGGGGAAUUAGGACUGUUACCUUGAAAAAAUUAGAGUGUUUAAAGCAGGCUCACGCUUGAAUACAUUAGCAUGGAAUAAUGAAAUAGGACAUCCGGUUCCAUUUUGUUGGUUUCUAGGAUCGAUGUAAUGAUUAAUAGAGAUAGUUGGGGGCAUUAGUAUUCAAUUGUCAGAGGUGAAAUUCUUGGAUUUAUUGAAGACUAACUACAGCGAAAGCAUUUGCCAAGGAUGUUUUCAUUAAUCAAGAACGAAAGUUAGGGGAUCGAAGACGAUCAGAUACCGUCGUAGUCUUAACCAUAAACUAUGCCGACUAGGGAUCGGAUGAUGUUAAUUUUUAAUGACUCAUUCGGCGCCUUACGGGAAACCAAAGUGUUUGGGUUC